This 468-nucleotide ribosomal RNA is filed under the name uncultured bacterium. Its description in RNAcentral is "partial 16S ribosomal RNA". It matches the Rfam family "Bacterial small subunit ribosomal RNA", at positions 28 to 507 of the family's 1533-position model. The record is from RNAcentral.
GACGAACGCUGGCGGCGUGCUUAACACAUGCAAGUCGAACGGAAAGGCCCUGCUUUUGUGGGGUGCUCGAGGGGCGAACGGGUGAGUAACACGUGAGUAACCUGCCCUUGACUUUGGGAUAACUUCAGGAAACUGGGGCUAAUACCGGAGAGGAGCUCCUGCUGCAUGGGGGGGGUUGGAAAGUUUCGGCGGUUGGGGAUGGACUCGCGGCUUAUCAGCUUGUUGGUGGGGUAGUGGCUUACCAAGGCUUUGACGGGUAGCCGGCCUGGGAGGGUGACCGGCCACCUUGCGCCUGAGAUACGGCCCAGACUCCUACGGGAGGCAGCAGUGGGGAAUAUUGCACAAUGGGCGGAAGCCUGAUGCAGCAACGCCGCGUGCGGGAUGACGGCCUUCGGGUUGUAAACCGCUUUCGCCUGUGACGAAGCGUGAGUGACGGUAAUGGGUGAAGAAGCACCGGCUAACUACGUG